AUCCGGCUGACGAGUCACAGACAGGACGAAACGCGCGUCCUGGAU
This is a non-coding RNA of Schistosoma curassoni, 45 nucleotides long. Lineage: Eukaryota; Metazoa; Platyhelminthes; Trematoda; Strigeidida; Schistosomatidae. The record is from Rfam.